UUAACCUGAGGUAGUUAUAAAUUGAAGGCAGUUGUUUUAUUGUCGGAUACGAAUUUGUAUGAUUGAUGAUCCUACGACUCUCUGUGAUCGUUGCUUUUCUUUUCUUUUUGAUCUUACCUCCUUCCACUUUUUUUAUUUGACUUAUUGUGGCAUUGACGGGGAACACAGACAGAGUUACUAAGGUAAACUGCAUGAGAGUUUGUAUGGAUGGAGUUGUCCUAAAACCUGUGCCAGUGGAUAAAAUGAGAAGUGCUUUAUCUGAGCUCUUAGAACAUGGAGUUGUACUUGAAUCUUAGAGAAUGUAGGAGGAAAAUGUGCAGCAACCAUAUGAAUAAUUCACCCAAAUGCACAAGGUGUUGUAUAUAGUUCUCGUCUUUGGGGCAAAGAGGAAGAGUGUUAUUCUUGGUGUGGUGAUAACACAGUAUGCCACUUGAAAAAGGUGUAUGUAUCUGAUUAAACGCGACGUUGCUCAAGGCAUUCAGCAGAUUUGUAGAAAGGAGUUUAUUUUUCCACUACGCAGAAGUGUUCAUAUUCCAUGGAACUUUGUAUAAGAUCUGAUUUUGACACAUCCCUUCAUUUACUUGAAACAUUAGAAGAAUUAUUGCCUUGGCUUAACAUUUGUGGCAAAAACAUGAUUGGUCAAUAGAUUAUGUGUUUUUUUUCUUCUGUUUUUUCUAUUGCCUUUUCAUAUCCAUAGUUUUUUCUGACCUUACUAGAUAGCAAAGAGCUUGAACUGAAGGGGUGUUUUGACUCUAUGCAUCAAAGAAGCAACAGCAAAUAAAAAAACUAAAGCAGGGAUAGAACGAAAUGCUUCACUUAAGCAAAUGAUGUCUUAAAGUUGCAUCAAGGAUUUCUUUCGAAAUUGUGGUUGUUUUCUCAACCUCGAUGAAAUUCUCUAUCCUAUAUCUAAAAGGUGUUAUCAGGUAAAUCGACAAGCUUCUGUAUUCCAAUUCUAAAGGGUUUAAAAGGUAUCCAAAUUGAUAAUUUUUUAUGUCUAAAAAGGCUUCUACAUUAUCAAGUAAGACUCAAGAAGAAUCAUGUGUUUGUUUGGAAGGACAAGAAGUGAUUAAAAUUGGGUUAAUGGGACAACAUCCUUGGUUAUCUUUAAUCAAGAGAAUUUUGAAUCCUUGUUUUUGUCUGCAUUUAUUUUCUUCUACGUUCCAAUAGCUCAUCAUCCUUAGAUUCUGAAAUUCGUAUAUUGAGGAAUAAGUUUAUAUUGUUGUGUCUUAAUACUUGAACCUAUGUUGGAUAUCAUCUACUCGGACCAUAUAUGCUCAGUACCUGUACAUUUUCUCUAUCUGGACAAUGUUAAAAAAUGAAAGACGAGAUUGUUGCAAUCGUUAAGUAAAUCAAUAUUGGCUUCUUUAACUUAUUUGACUUUUGUUUACAGGUAUAAACUUUCACACAGCAAGAGCUCAUGUUCAUAUUUCGUGUAUUGCACUAAUUUUUCAUCACCUUCUUCCCCUGCCACCUCCUCCUUCCAUAGCAUGUCUAUUAAAUUAGACCAUACAUUAUUCUUUAUGGACAAUGAAAACCUAUGAUUAUUUUGGUUUGCAUUGUGCAUACUCCUUUGUUAGCAUGUCAUUUAAUUCAUUAUUGAUGAUAGUUUUGUGCUGGUCAUUAAUUCUGUAGAGCUGUGAAUUGAGAUAAUUCUCAUGUGUGCUCUAUAUACUCUUCCAGUUAUUUAGAUUUUAUUUUUAGACAAACUCUUUAUAAUCGUUGUUUUCCACUUUCUCCUGGUUCAUGUAGCAUAUACUUUGUUGUGAUCUUGAGUUUACAUGAGAAAAAGGAAAAUUGGUUCUAGUGCUGAUGCAUGCCUAAGCUUUACCAAGUAUGUUGUUUUGAUAUACUGCUCCCUCAUUCUUUCUGUAAUAUAGACAAUUUUAAAAUAGUUUCUCUCCAUUCAAAGUCAACACGCAAUAUAUUUUGCUUUUCUUAUCUUAAAUUUGUCAUGAUUUCUCAGCUUUCGUCAAGCUGGUGCUUCUGUCAUUCAAAUUUUUGUUGGUCCCCUGAGGGAAAAUGUGGGUGAUUGAAUUUGAAUAGUGGCCAGAAGUAAACUCGAUUGUAGUGAACAAUAAAGAUUUUUUGUACUAUUGCCAUAUAUGUUUGGAUGCAUUUGUCUCUAGUAGAGAUCCUUAAGCAAUUGCUUUCUAA
Molecule: long non-coding RNA, 2154 nt
Organism: Solanum tuberosum (potato)
Lineage: Eukaryota; Viridiplantae; Streptophyta; Magnoliopsida; Solanales; Solanaceae
Exons: 3
Source: RefSeq, a predicted model, not a curated record